This 74-nucleotide transfer RNA is filed under the name Planctomycetaceae bacterium. RNAcentral describes it as "tRNA-Ile". It matches the Rfam family "tRNA". From Rfam's summary of the family: Transfer RNA (tRNA) molecules are approximately 80 nucleotides in length. Their secondary structure includes four short double-helical elements and three loops (D, anti-codon, and T loops). Further hydrogen bonds mediate the characteristic L-shaped molecular structure. tRNAs have two regions of fundamental functional importance: the anti-codon, which is responsible for specific mRNA codon recognition, and the 3' end, to which the tRNAs corresponding amino acid is attached (by aminoacyl-tRNA synthetases). tRNAs cope with the degeneracy of the genetic code in two manners: having more than one tRNA (with a specific anti-codon) for a particular amino acid; and 'wobble' base-pairing, i.e. permitting non-standard base-pairing at the 3rd anti-codon position. Lineage: Bacteria; Pseudomonadati; Planctomycetota; Planctomycetia; Planctomycetales; Planctomycetaceae. The record is from RNAcentral.
UGUGCGGUAGCGUAGUUGGUCAACGCAUAAGGCUCAUAACCUUAAGAUCGCAGGUUCGAAUCCUGCCUGCACAA